RNAcentral lists this ribosomal RNA (442 nucleotides) under uncultured bacterium. Its description in RNAcentral is "partial 16S ribosomal RNA". It matches the Rfam family "Bacterial small subunit ribosomal RNA", at positions 338 to 795 of the family's 1533-position model. The record is from RNAcentral.
CCUACGGGAGGCAGCAGUGGGGAAUAUUGGGCAAUGGGCGCAAGCCUGACCGAGCAACGCCGCGUGAAGGAAGAAGGCUUUCGGGUUGUAAACUUCUUUUGACAGGGAAGAGCAAGAGACGGUACCUGUCGAAUAAGCCACGGCGAACUACGUGCCAGCAGCCGCGGUAAUACGGAGGUGGCAAGCGGUGUCCGGAUUUACUGGGUGUAAAGGGCGUGUAGGCGGGUUGACAAGUCCGAUGUUAAAUCCGGGGGCUCAACCCACGAAGUGCAUUUGAAACUGUUGGACUUGAGUAUCGGAGAGGCAGGCGGAAUUCCUAGUGUAGCGGUGAAAUGCGUAGAUAUUAGGAGGAACACCAGUGGCGAAGGCGGCCUGCUGGACGACAACUGACGGUGAGGCGCGAAAGCGUGGGGAGCAAACAGGAUUAGAUACCCGGGUAGUC